RNAcentral lists this ribosomal RNA (20 nucleotides) under Acaena fissistipula. RNAcentral's name for it is "partial 26S ribosomal RNA". The record is from RNAcentral. Lineage: Eukaryota; Viridiplantae; Streptophyta; Magnoliopsida; Rosales; Rosaceae.
GGUUUGCCCGUUGAAUUUAA